UUCCCAUGUAGCUUUUGGUCCCGAAAAUUAUGUCCAGCCUGGCAGACACAGAGAGUUCCAGUGUCUUUGACACGAUAAGGACAAACACUUCAGAAUGGACAGAUAUGGUACUACCAAAUAUUGGAAUAAAAUUUGACACGUGUGCACCAGAAUCUAUAAACAAAGUUUUCUCAAAGGGUGUUUUACACUUUAUUGAACAUGUUGAAGAGACAAUCCGUUCUGAAGUUGUAAAUCUGUUUUGGUUUCGAAGCGAAGAAGAUGAAGAGAAAAAAGAUUGUUUUGAACAUGCAGUUCUGGAUGUUUUUGACAUUGACUGUUAUCACAUAGACGAUAUUUCUAUAAGUGACAUCAUGAAAUUAAAGCAAAUUGAGAAAUCAAAUUGGAUAGAUAACUUUGUAGCAAAAUCUGAUAGAUGUCAACGCUUUGCAAGAGAAAGAAUUUGUAGAGAACUAUCAGCAAGUCUGAAGACAUUUGUGUGGCAGCUUUUAUACAUGCACAGAAGAUCAAAAGGAAACAAAUCACAAGAAUUGUCAGAAGGAAUGUUUCAAGAACUCUUUGUCACUUUUGCUAGAACAUUUGGCUUAAAUAUUGUGAGCAGUCCAAGUGUUGAAAAUUACUUAAUGAAAAUUAAUGAAAAAGAUUUUGUUGCCAAACCUGAUGCAAUUAUAUGCCAUCCUACAACAACUGGUGAUGACAAGAUUUGUGCUGUUAUAGGGGUUAAGGGAUGCAGCCAAGAUGAAGGCAGUGACCACACAAGAAAUUUAACAAAUAUGCCAAAAGGAUCUAAUGCUCCACAUAUUGGAUCGGACCUCAAAGGUCAACAUUGUGGACAGUUCCUGUGUACACUACCAUAUUCUGCGUUUGGAAAGAAUGGAAUGUUUGGUUUCAUUAUACAAGGAACAAAAGUGACAUUUACUGCUUUUAAAGCAGAUGAUGGGUAUUAUGACAAUUUAUGUAGUGGACAUUUGCAUCAAAAAGAAGCAUUUGUAACAUACAGCGAAGAAUACAAUAUUCUAAGGAAAGAAGACAGAAAACUUCUGGUGCAAACAUUCUUAGAUAUUGGAAAGUUAAUGGACUCUCUUUGUGAGAUGUAGUUGCACAGAUGUCAAAGAAAAUCUUAGAGUUUGGUGGACAUUUUCUAGUCUUUUGCCAGUCAAAAGAUAUCUAAAGAUAAAGAGAGACAUACUGCCAGUGAGGAAUAGAAUGAUGUGUGCUACAGUGUUCAAAACAAUACAGAACUUUACUAAAUGAAUUAUUAAGUUGUACCAUUUUGUGCAUGGGAAAUAUACAAUAUCCUUUUAAUACCAUCUUAUUUUUUUUAAUUUGGAUUUUAUAUACUGUAUAUACGUGUAUUGUACAAAUUAUUUACAAAAAAUAACAUGGAGACUGACUGAUAAGGACAUUUUUGCCAAUAAAUGUUUUAAUAUAGAUAACUUAUGUUUUUAUGCAUGCAAUAUUACUACUCUUAUUUUUUGGGAAAGAUGAAUUAAGCAAUAAAAAGAAACUUUGAGUAGGCUUUAUAUUAAAGUUAACUACACAUUU
Mytilus californianus (California mussel) is the source of this 1542-nucleotide RNA transcript. RefSeq lists it as uncharacterized. The transcript has 6 exons. The record is from RefSeq and is a predicted model, not a curated record. NCBI's taxonomy places the organism in Eukaryota, Metazoa, Mollusca, Bivalvia, Mytilida, Mytilidae.